AUUGAACGCUAGCGGGAUGCCUUACACAUGCAAGUCGAACGGCAGCACGGACUUCGGUCUGGUGGCGAGUGGCGAACGGGUGAGUAAUGUAUCGGAACGUGCCCAGUAGCGGGGGAUAACUACGCGAAAGCGUAGCUAAUACCGCAUACGCCCUACGGGGAAAGGCAGGGGAGUCGCAAGACCUUGCACUAUUGGAGCGG
This 200-nucleotide ribosomal RNA is filed under the name uncultured bacterium. RNAcentral's name for it is "partial 16S ribosomal RNA". It matches the Rfam family "Bacterial small subunit ribosomal RNA", at positions 30 to 229 of the family's 1533-position model. The record is from RNAcentral.